Molecule: long non-coding RNA, 285 nt
Filed under: Daucus carota (carrot)
Lineage: Eukaryota; Viridiplantae; Streptophyta; Magnoliopsida; Apiales; Apiaceae
Description: long non-coding RNA (DCAR_LNC004911)
Source: RNAcentral
UUUACUCCAAGAUCGUCUAAACCAGUAUCAACUUCCACUCCAAGAUCGUCAAAGCCGGUAUCAACUUCCACUCCAAUAUUGUCUAAGCCGUUAUCAACCUCCACUCCAAGAUCAUCUAAGGCCUUAUCAACCUCCACUCCAAGAUCGUCUAAGCUGGUACCAACCUCCACUCCAAGAUCGUCAAAGUCGGUACCAGCCUCCACUCUAAGACCGUCUAAGACAGGGUCAGCAGCCACCUCCAGGUUGUAUAAGCCACUCUCGACAUCAAGUCCCGCAUUACCCAAG